RNAcentral lists this ribosomal RNA (222 nucleotides) under uncultured bacterium. RNAcentral's name for it is "partial 16S ribosomal RNA". It matches the Rfam family "Bacterial small subunit ribosomal RNA", at positions 109 to 334 of the family's 1533-position model. The record is from RNAcentral.
AGUAAUGUCUGGGAAACUGCCUGAUGGAGGGGGAUAACUACUGGAGACGGUAGCUAAUACCGCAUAACGUCGCAAGACCAAAGAGGGGGACCUUCGGGCCUCUUGCCAUCAGAUGUGCCCAGAUGGGAUUAGCUAGUAGGUGGGGUAACGGCUCACCUAGGCGACGAUCCCUAGCUGGUCUGAGAGGAUGACCAGCCACACUGGAACUGAGACACGGUCCAG